RNAcentral lists this ribosomal RNA (400 nucleotides) under uncultured bacterium. RNAcentral's name for it is "bacterial SSU rRNA". It matches the Rfam family "Bacterial small subunit ribosomal RNA", at positions 355 to 747 of the family's 1533-position model. The record is from RNAcentral.
UAGGGAAUCUUCCACAAUGGGCGAAAGCCUGAUGGAGCAACGCCGCGUGUGUGAUGAAGGGUUUCGGCUCGUAAAACACUGUUGUAAGAGAAGAAUGACAUUGAGAGUAACUGUUCAAUGUGUGACGGUAUCUUACCAGAAAGGAACGGCUAAAUACGUGCCAGCAGCCGCGGUAAUACGUAUGUUCCAAGCGUUAUCCGGAUUUAUUGGGCGUAAAGCGAGCGCAGACGGUUAUUUAAGUCUGAAGUGAAAGCCCUCAGCUCAACUGAGGAAUUGCUUUGGAAACUGGAUGACUUGAGUGCAGUAGAGGAAAGUGGAACUCCAUGUGUAGCGGUGAAAUGCGUAGAUAUAUGGAAGAACACCAGUGGCGAAGGCGGCUUUCUGGACUGUAACUGACGUU